Molecule: long non-coding RNA, 172 nt
Organism: Solea senegalensis (Senegalese sole)
Lineage: Eukaryota; Metazoa; Chordata; Actinopteri; Pleuronectiformes; Soleidae
Exons: 3
Source: RefSeq, a predicted model, not a curated record
CUAUGUUGUAAGGUAGGUUUUAUGUUGUAAGGUAGGUCCAUGUUGUAAGGUAGGUCUAGGUUGUCUAUGUUGUAAGGUAGGUCCAUGUUGUAAGGUAGGUCCAGGUUGUCUAUGUUUUAAUGUAGCCCCAUGUUGUAAGGUAGGUCCGUGUUGUAAGGUAGGUCUGUGUUGU